UGACGAGUGGCGGACGGGUGAGUAACGCGUAGGAAUCUGCCCAUCUGUGGGGGAUACCAGUUGGAAACGACUGUUAAUACCGCAUAAUAUCUGCGGAUUAAAGGUGGCCUUUGUGCUGCCGCAGAUGGAUGAGCCUGCGUUGGAUUAGCUAGUUGGUAGGGUAAGGGCCUACCAAGGCUACG
This 182-nucleotide ribosomal RNA is filed under the name Francisella noatunensis subsp. noatunensis. RNAcentral describes it as "partial 16S ribosomal RNA". It matches the Rfam family "Bacterial small subunit ribosomal RNA", at positions 89 to 278 of the family's 1533-position model. The record is from RNAcentral. Lineage: Bacteria; Pseudomonadati; Pseudomonadota; Gammaproteobacteria; Thiotrichales; Francisellaceae.